RNAcentral lists this ribosomal RNA (88 nucleotides) under Thiobacillus sp. Lineage: Bacteria; Pseudomonadati; Pseudomonadota; Betaproteobacteria; Nitrosomonadales; Thiobacillaceae. RNAcentral also lists the same sequence under 1 other name. The record is from RNAcentral.
CACUCCUUCCCAUCCCGAACAGGACAGUGAAACGACUUUGCGCCGAUGAUAGUGCGGAUUCCCGUGUGAAAGUAGGUCAUCGUCAGGC